Molecule: long non-coding RNA, 792 nt
Filed under: Vitis vinifera (wine grape)
Lineage: Eukaryota; Viridiplantae; Streptophyta; Magnoliopsida; Vitales; Vitaceae
Description: long non-coding RNA (VVIN_LNC002611)
Source: RNAcentral
AACCUAUGAUGCCUGAGAUGAGACCUUUAAUGUCCCCCAUACCUGCACUGCAUAUACUCUCCAGAGAAAAACAGAAAAGCAAACCGAACCCAAAACUUCAUCAGUACUUGUAGUCCUUGACAUGGAGGCUUUCCGCGGCACCCUCUCCAAGUUUGGCAUCACCCUUGUAGGUUCCAAGAGUGGCCUCAGAGUUUGCCUUGCACCUUACCAGGAAUGCUCCCCUGGCCUUCACAACAUUUUCCUCCUUUCCUGACCAGGCCUUGAGAGUGCUCUGCUGAAGUGCACGUCCAAAGGAGAAGGACAGGUUCCAUGGCUUCUUCCCCUUGAGCUUGUUCAUGGCAUUGAGGUUGAGAGUGGCCUCCUCCUCACUCUGCCCCCCAGACAAAAACACAAUAGCAGGAACAGCUGCAGGCACAGUUCGCUGGAGGGUCCGAACAGUGUACUCGGCCACCACCUCUGGGGAAACCUUCUUGGCUUCUGAUCCAGGAGUCACCAUGUUAGGCUUCAACAGAGUUCCCUCAAGCAGAACGUGAUGGUCAUUCAGUGCUUUGUAGCAUGCUGCCAGAACACGUUCAGUUACAUAAGCACACUUUUCAAUAUCAUGAGGGCCAUCCACCAGGAUCUCAGGCUCAACAAUGGGGACAAGGCCAUUCUCCUGGCAGAUCAUUGCAUAUCUUGCCAACCCAUAUGCAUUUUCAUGGAUUGCCAACUCAGAUGGCUCAGUAGGGCCAAUCUUAAGCACAGCACGCCAUUUAGCAAACCGGGCACCAGCUGCAUAGUAUUUUGCACAUC